GAGCCCUCUCCCUUCUCUCUCCCCGACCCUCUCUUCCUCUCCGACCUCUUCACCUUCUUCCGGCCAUAACUCCUCCAUCCGGCGACGGAUUUUGACGUAUAAGAUGUCGUUGGAAAGCUCUCUUCCUAUUCUUCAUUUCUGGGUUCGUUUCGUAGCUUAAUAUGAACUGUGGAAGGUGCAGCAACGAGAAGAAGAGGACGGUCACUGUAGCAGUUUUGAGUCAACGCCGAUAUUUUCCGAUUCCGGCAGUCUCCAGCCACCUAACUGGCAUCGAAGGGUUCUUGGAAUUUCUGGAAAUUUUUCACCGGCCAAAUUGGAGCUCUUCCAGGGCAAUGCCGCGAGCUACGGUUAAAUGAAGGAACUCGUUUGCGUGGUCGCCCAAUAGUACUUUUGCAGGCGAAAUUAGUUGAGGUCGGGCGUACAUGGAGUCGAGGCAUAGCCAACAGCAUUGCUUCCGCGUACUCAUUCUAUUUCUGUUUUCUUUGUUACCUAGUGGAUUAGUAUUGCUCUGAUAACCUAUGGGAUUAAUAUUGUUUUUGGGUUGAGACUGAUA
Molecule: long non-coding RNA, 553 nt
Organism: Rosa rugosa (rugosa rose)
Lineage: Eukaryota; Viridiplantae; Streptophyta; Magnoliopsida; Rosales; Rosaceae
Exons: 4
Source: RefSeq, a predicted model, not a curated record